GUAUCCUUGUUCAACAUCGACCGAUCCCUUUGAGUUUCUUUCUUUCUAUAAGCUGUUUCUAUGGGGUAUACCAAGGGCCUAUUUUCCGCCAUAACCAGAGAUGGGGAGCCGCUCGUCAAGAAACUCGCAGCGGUUUCUGUAUUCGGGGUCUUGCCAGCAGCCAUGAUCGCGUCUCUUAUCUAUUCUCCUCCCGAUUUCAUCUACAACCACAAAACCGCUUCUUCAAAAUCUCCCCAAUAGACAUCUUUUCAGGGUAUGUUUGGAGUUGGUGGAAAUGCUUAUGCUGGAUGGAUAUGGGUGUGCUGAUUAGAAUAAUUUCAAGUUUGUCUUAGAAAAUGGUUUUGCUGUUUUGAAUAGACUAUGAAUGGCAAACUGUUUGCCUGAAAUUAUUUCUUUCAAGUUUAAUUAACUUUCCAGCAUUAGCUUGUUUGGACCAUUUAAUAUUUCUAUUUUGUGCAUUCUAUUUAUAUAGUUUCUGGGCUACAAAUAAAACCAAUCAUGAGCUUAUCAUAGUGGCAUAAAAAAAGCGUUCCGACUUAACAAAUCCAACUGUACAAAAAUGCCAUUUGGGCUGUAAAAGACCAAACAUCACAACAAGCCUGAUGUUGACUCUCAAAUUUUUGGGUGUAUUAAAGCUUGAUGAAGGUGACAAACCAUGUAUCAGAUUGUGAUGGGUAGAGAUGUGAUAUUUGAUGAACAUGGCUAGAAUUUAUUAUCUGAAGAGGAGAAUGAUGUAUUGGUAAUAUUUGAAGAUGAACAAGAUGGUAAUAAGAUGAUAGAGAUUGAUACCCUUCAUGAAGAAUUGAAGAUGCCAACAAGUUUCACAUAAUACAACCAAUGAAGAUGUCUAAAGUUCUCAAGCUUAGGAAGGAAGAAGAAGAAUUCCUCUAGUACAUCAAGUAAGUGGGGAAGGACUUUAUGAGGAAGAUGAGAAGAGACGCAACACUUGCUAUAUGCUUCUCAUAGUGAUAAGUAAGCUGCACCGUAGAAGCUGCAAUGAAUACAUAAAUAGAGGCCAUAGACAAGAAUUAGACAUGGGAAUUGGUUAGUUUAAUGGCAGGAGUUAAAUGGGUCUACAAGACCAAGAUUAAUGCAAAAGGAGAUAUAAACAAAUACAAAGCAACACUUGUCGCAAAAGGAUAUGGACCAAGGUAUAUAUGGCAUCAAUUACGAACAAGUGUAUUGUGAUGUUGGAUACCAUAAGAAUGCUCUUGGCUAUGGCUGCAGAGGAAGGUUGGAUUCUCUACAAACAUGAUGUAAAGAAUACCUUUUCAUGGCACCCUGAAAGAAACUGUGUACGUGGCAUAGUCCGAAGGAUACGUUCAAGCAAGAGAAGAGCAUAUUCAAGCAAGAGAAGAGCAUAAGGUCUAUAAACUGAAGAAAACUGUAUAUUGGCUGAAGCAUCUCAAAAAGCAUGGUAUGUAUAACAAUACACAAAGGGUUGUCAAAUGGUUUCAGAUGGUAAAAUGUUAACAACCCCAUUGUGCUACGAACCAAACUACCAAAGGAGGAAGGCGGAUAGGAAGUUGAUGCUUCCCUCAGUAAGCAACUUAAUAUAUGUUAUUGCCACAAGAUCAGACAUCAUGUUUUCCGUUUGUUUCUUAAUCAGAUUUAUGGCUUGCCCGAGAGAAGCUCAUCUAAUGGGAGCAAGAGGAUUCUGCACUACAUUAAGUAUUAAGGGUUCGGGAAUAUUUACAAACAAAGUGUAGACCGGAGGGCUUUUAGCGAUAGAACUACAAGUACAUAUAAGAGGUUAAUUACUCUUGCAUAUUAAAAUGUUGUAACCUUAUCAACUAGUGAAGCAGUAGCUUCAACUUGUGCCUGGAUUUUAGAGAGUUCAACUAGGAUUAGUGAUGUAGUAUGACAAUCAAAUGUAACGAAUAUAUAGCUCUUCGAUCAAUCAUGUCUUUCAGGUGAGAAUGCGCUGAUUCAUUAGAACACAAGAUCAUCGAUCUAGCAGAUAUCAUCAU
Molecule: long non-coding RNA, 1970 nt
Organism: Cynara cardunculus var. scolymus (artichoke)
Lineage: Eukaryota; Viridiplantae; Streptophyta; Magnoliopsida; Asterales; Asteraceae
Exons: 3
Source: RefSeq, a predicted model, not a curated record